GAUGAACGCUGGCGGCGUGCUUAACACAUGCAAGUCGAACGGGAAACCUUUUAUUGAAGCUUCGGCAGAUUUAGCUGGUUUCUAGUGGCGGACGGGUGAGUAACGCGUGGGUAACCUGCCUUAUACAGGGGGAUAACAGUCAGAAAUGGCUGCUAAUACCGCAUAAGCGCACAGAGCUGCAUGGCUCAGUGUGAAAAACUCCGGUGGUAUAAGAUGGACCCGCGUUGGAUUAGCUGGUUGGUGGGGUAACGGCCCACUAAGGCGACGAUCCAUAGCCGGCCUGAGAGGGUGAACGGCCACAUUGGGACUGAGACACGGCCCAGACCCCUACGGGAGGCAGCAGUGGGGAAUAUUGCACAAUGGGGGAAACCCUGAUGCAGCGACGCCGCGUGAAGGAAGAAGUAUCUCGGUAUGUAAACUUCUAUCAGCAGGGAAGAUAAUGACGGUACCUGACUAAGAAGCCCCGGCUAACUACGUG
RNAcentral lists this ribosomal RNA (478 nucleotides) under uncultured bacterium. RNAcentral's name for it is "partial 16S ribosomal RNA". It matches the Rfam family "Bacterial small subunit ribosomal RNA", at positions 28 to 507 of the family's 1533-position model. The record is from RNAcentral.